RNAcentral lists this ribosomal RNA (251 nucleotides) under uncultured bacterium. RNAcentral's name for it is "partial 16S ribosomal RNA". It matches the Rfam family "Bacterial small subunit ribosomal RNA", at positions 524 to 776 of the family's 1533-position model. The record is from RNAcentral.
UACGAAGGGGGCUAGCGUUGUUCGGAUUUACUGGGCGUAAAGCGCACGUAGGCGGAUCGUUAAGUCGGGGGUGAAAUCCUGGAGCUCAACUCCAGAACUGCCUCGAUACUGGGAACUUGAGUCCGGGAGAGGUGAGUGGAACUGCGAGUGUAGAGGUGAAAUUCGUAGAUAUUCGCAAGAACACCAGUGGCGAAGGCGGCUCACUGGCUCAUUACUGACGCUCAGGCGCGAUAGCGUGGGGAUCAAACAGG